CUGCAGGAGGCAGAGCGCACACCACGCCCUCGGGGCUCGGUCCCAGCUCUUUCACACGCCUCGCGCCGCUCCGCCCGCACCCCCAGCUCGCGCUGCGGCGGCCAACCUCAGCCCCGGAGACCGUCCGAAGGUCUCUCGAGCUUUCAGUGACCAGCCAGGGCGCGCGGCUGGCUAGAGCCGUUCCCCAGCAGCAGGCCUGGCUCUCCCUGAUCAGCGAGCGCGGAUACCGGGUCACCUCCCUCCCUCUGCCGGACUCCAGCCCGACGCCAGGCCUCUGGGGGCAAGCGCUGUGCUUCAGAAGAGAGACGGGAUUUCACCAUGUUGGCCAGGCUGGUCUCGAACUAACAGCCUCAGGAAUUGCCCUUCCAACCAGAACCAAGACAGACUGUCACCUCAAAUAUAAGAGGAGUCUCAGCACUGUUCCUCAGCGCUCUUCUUCCCCAAGCUGCCCUGUGAAAUGGGGACACUGGGGAAGGCAGAGGCAAUGGCAUGAAGGCUCUAAGCCAUUUCAGAGGAGGCACUAGCUGACAUGAAGAUGAAAACCACAGAUGACGGGGCCUGAUAAACCCUGAACCAAAACCCUAAGUGUGUACCAUCUUGGACAGAGUCUGUGAUUUUGACUAUGCAUGAGAAGAAAGAGAAUGCAAGUGCUCUCUUCAUUCAUGGAGUUUUGAACCCAGAUGCCUCAGAGAGUGCCUUCCACCCAUCUCAUAUAUGAGUCAUGAAUGGCAAAUGAUACCUGAGCAGGGGAGGCCUAUUGGUCCUGCCGUCCCUCUCAAGGGUGCCUGCCGGUGCAGAUCAGGGCUGGAGUCCUAUCUUGGUGAAGGGCAGGAGGAGCUCAGGUCGGCUGCCCUCUGAAGCCUCUCCAGACAUCACCACAAACGGCUACCAUUACCCAGCCGCCCUUCACGCCCCAGAUACAUUGUUUUUCUUUUUUUUCUGAGGCUCUGUCACCCAGGCUGGAGUGCAGUGGUGUGAUCUUGGCUCACUGCAACCUCCGCCUCCCAGGUUCAAGCGAUUCUCCUGCCUCAAUCCCUGAGUAGCUGGGAUUACAAACAUGUUCCAUCCACCAUGCCUGAAUGGUUUUUGUGUUUUUAGUGGAGAUGGAGUUUCACCGUAUUGGCCAGACUGGUUUGGAACACCUGACAUCAGGUGAUCCACCUGCCUCAGCCUCCCAAAGUGGUGGAAUUACAGGUAUGAGCCACUUCACCUGGUCAGAUGCAUAGUUUUUCUCAUGCUUGUCCUUGCACAUCUCCCGGGUGCAGGAAUGUUUGGAGCCCAUGAAGUGAUCUGUGCUGAACCCCCAAACCUGAAAGUCAGGGCCAAUUCUCUUUGCCUCCCAUACUAGGUGGGGCCUUAGGUUUUGCAUGAAAACUAAAAGCCCACAAGCCCAAAGGUUCUCCUCUCUUUACCACUAUUUCCAAACAUAAACAAGGAAAUUGUUGGAUGAGCCAAAAUAACCCCAAGAAGAAGGAACAAGUGCUAGUGACAUCUUCACAUGAGGAUGGAAGCCUCAUGAAUUCAGACUAUUCUAAGCCGCAGGUGAUCUCAGGUGGUCUUUGUCAUGCUUUUGGACCCGAGUGCUGGAUGUCCUUCUAGGAUAACUGAACCACUUCACCCCGACAGCAAAACACCACAUCACUCACAUCCCCAUCCCAAACCGAGAGGAGGUUCUGCAGUAGGAAGUGGCACAUGGAUAGAAUCUAUAGCCAGAGUGGUUCUGACUUUAAUUUCAGUGCCUGGAGAACACAGUCACAUCUCUUAUCACUUUUCACAGGACAGCUUGGGGAAGAGGGAUACUCAGGAAUGGGGCUGGGACUCCUCCGAAGUUCGAGGUGACAGUCUGGGCUCUGUUUUGGUUGGAAGGGCAGUUCCUGAGCUGCAAAGCCUGGCGGAGGAGGGGAGGGAGGGUGCUGGAUUUAGUCCUCUGGAGAGAACACUACAGACUGAAUGCAAAGGCAGGGCUUCUGCUUUGAGUCUGAAAUGAGGGAAACUCAUGGUGGAGGACAGCUAUUCUGUCACUCUGCAGAUCCAGCAUUAUUCCACCAUAUGCUUUUCACGGAUUAGGAGUGUAGUUACAAUCUUGGGCGUUUUUAAAACUGAUCUUUGCACCUGCUGGUAGCAGAGAGCAACACUUUCCCCGCCCCCGACUUCCUUUUUGAGCUGGGAGGGAGUAAAAUCCAGCUCUGUUGUUGGAGCUCUCUCUGGUGGCAGUUUCCGAAAAUGAUCCAGCCCUGUGGAUUUUGCGGAAGGUUGGCAACAACUAGGCAUCAUGGGCAUUCAGUAGGAAGCAGCGAGAGGAAAGAUGUUCCGCCCUUUCAGAGACGGGGCGGAAGGGCCAGCUGUGCCCUCUGCAAGGUGGCCGGCUGUUCAGAUUCUGAAGAGGUGGAAUUCGCCGGAGUCCGCCCUGCCAACGUGCGUACGUGUCCUGGGGGCUGGAUGAUUUGCGCAGACGACUGGGAAACCCGCCUCGUGCAUCUUUGCUUGCCUUUUCCUAGAUCUGUCUCAGCCCCGCGCAGAUUGGCAGCUUCUCGGGCGCUGAAAUGGCGCCUCAGCCACCUUUGCGGGGCGCCCCCUUCAGCCUUCCUGGUAGCAUCUGGCAGUGACUUCCUGGAGACCCGUAGGCCGGGACAGGUCACCAAGUGAAGCAGUGAGCCUCCGAGGCUGAUGCUGGAUAACCCACUGCGUCCGCCACUCUCCUGGCCGCCUGCCGGUGCUGUGUGCGUCCUUCUAGGUCUCGACAGAUGGUGGCGGCUUUGACAGUUCGUCCUCCCCGCGUGGACGCUCGUCCGCAGUCACUGCCCUCGGACCGCCAGCUCUGCUUAGGAGAUGGGGCACAGCUGGGGUGGGAAUUUGGAGGCAGCGGUGAAGUGGGACAGGAGCUGUGCUGUGGAACAACAAAGUCAACACCCAGGCAUGGCUUGUGCUGAACGCUGGAGAAAGGCUUCAGGGCCCAAGCGAUCAGCCUCCCAAAGUAUUGGGAUUAGAGGCAUGAGCCACCUUGCCUGGCCGAAAGUGCUCUUUAGCAGCACCAAGAGCAUGGGAUGUGGACACACGAGACCUGGGCUCCAGGCCUGGCUCUGUGGCUCUGGCCCAGUCACUGCCUUCUCUCAACCCAGUUUCUGUUUAAUAACCCUGGUUGAACAUGAUGUUUUCCAAAGAUCUUUUCCCAGAUCAAGUAUUUUCUUUAAUAUACGUAUAUAUUUUCUAAAUGGCUGUUGGCGUGUUAAGUGACCUGGGAAUACUUGCUACCGCUUUCAACGAGAGAAACUCAAGAAUCUGAAACUUAGUAUUUCCACGAAUUUGCGCAACAUGGGAGGUCAUCGCCUGGACACCACCGCCCCCUUGCGGCAGCUCAUUUAAAUUUGCAGAUGGUGACAAGGGAUUCAAGGGCUUGAAGGUUCAGCCCUUAUAAACCUGGGUUAAACCGGUUGGAUAAUGUCCCCAAAGCUUUAUUCACCCCUGGAAGGAACUGUAACUAGAUUGGAGGCUUUAUCUGCUUAAUGCCAUAAUGCCUUUCCCCAGCCUAAGUGGAUCUAGAGCCAGAUUACCCCAAAUCCACUUGUAAAUUAACUCACAUUAAAAUUUGCAAGCUUCUUGGGGAUGGAGUGAGGCGGUAAAAAAAAAAAAAAUUUUUUUUUUGCAAGGUUCGGAAAGCGGUAUGCUCCUACUCCAGAGUGGAUUCAUUGAAAGAGAAAAUGACCCUAAGCCCAUGUGGCAUUUCUGGUUAUUAAAUCCCCCAUUUGUAUGGACAUAUUCUUUUCUUUUUUGUUUUUAUUGAGGUAAAGUUUACAUAACACAAAAGUAACCAUUUUAAGUGACUAAUUUAGUGGCAUUUAGUACAUUCACUAUUUUAUGUAAACCAUUACCUCUAUCAAGGUCCAAAAUAUUUUUAUCAUUCCAGAAUAAAACCCACACCCAGGAUGUCGUUAGGCUCCAUUCUCCGGCAGACAAAGGCCCUCUGAAGCCUUUCCAGACAUCACCACAAACGGCUACCAUUACCCAGCCGCCCUUCACGCCCAAGAUACAUUGUUUUUCUUUUUUUUCCGAGGCUCUGUCACCCAGGCUGGAGUGCAGUGGUGUGAUCUUGGCUCACUGCAACCUCCGCCUCCCAGGUUCAAGCGAUUCUCCUGCCUCAACCCCUGAGUAGCUGGGAUUACAAACAUGUUCCAUCCACCAUGCCUGAAAGUUUGCUUUCUGUAUGUAUGGGUUUACCUAUUUGGGGUAUGUAAUAGAAAUAUAUAUAUUUUUCCA
Long non-coding RNA from Callithrix jacchus (white-tufted-ear marmoset), 4254 nucleotides. RefSeq lists it as uncharacterized. Lineage: Eukaryota; Metazoa; Chordata; Mammalia; Primates; Cebidae. The record is from RefSeq and is a predicted model, not a curated record.